Molecule: ribosomal RNA, 655 nt
Filed under: Turnera ulmifolia
Lineage: Eukaryota; Viridiplantae; Streptophyta; Magnoliopsida; Malpighiales; Passifloraceae
Description: eukaryotic LSU rRNA
Rfam family: 5.8S ribosomal RNA (bases 255-410)
Source: RNAcentral
GUCGUAGGUGAACCUGCGGAAGGAUCAUUGUCGAACCCUGCAUGGCAGAACGACCCGCGAACAAGUUGCGAAACACGAUCAGGACGCCGGGUGCGGAGCGGCAUGGCUGCCAUGUCGCCCCCGUUCCCCGGAUCCAGUAACAAACCCCGGCGCGAGAUGCGCCAAGGAAUCUCACAAGUAAGGAGGGACGAGCCCCCGUUGCGACCCGGGAACGGGAUCUGCGCGGGGGCGCCCGUCCACUUCGUAACCAAAACGACUCUCGGCAACGGAUAUCUCGGCUCUCGCAUCGAUGAAGAACGUAGCGAAAUGCGAUAUUUGGUGUGAAUUGCAGAAUCCCGUGAACCAUCGAGUCUUUGAACGCAAGUUGCGCCCGAAGCCUUCUGGCCGAGGGCACGCCUGCCUGGGUGUCAUGCAUCGUUUCCCCCUACUCCCUCAUGGGAAGAGGGGCGGACAUUGGCCUCCCGUGCGCUCCCGCUCGCGGUUGGCCCAAAAUCGAGUCUGCCUGCGGCUGUAGCCACGACGAGCGGUGGUUGAACAGACCCUCUGACACUGUCGUGCGCCCGAUGCUGCAGGCUUGAAGGACUGGUAGACCCUAUUUCUCACUGUGCGACCCCAGGUCAGGCGGGACUACCCGCUGAGUUUAAGCAUAUCAAUA